Molecule: long non-coding RNA, 1025 nt
Organism: Lolium rigidum
Lineage: Eukaryota; Viridiplantae; Streptophyta; Magnoliopsida; Poales; Poaceae
Exons: 3
Source: RefSeq, a predicted model, not a curated record
ACUGCUCCGUUCCUCUUCCCAAUCGUCUUCUCUACUAAAAUUGCAGCCAAACUCUCUAGCAGAAUUCGAUCCGAAAUCGAAGAAGGGGAGUCCACGAUCUCCACUAACGGGGUAGCUGACCAGCCUUCCAUUUGCUUUUAAAGGCCCAGACAAAGCACCAGAACAAUACCAUAGAUCUCCAUCUCCCUCCUUUCCCCUUCGUCUGGAUCCACAAACUGGUGAGGUCUCGCGGCGCUACUUGCAAGCCAUUCCGGCGAACUCCGCCAGGAGAUGCAGGCCGGUGCACACCGCGAGAAGCACGUCCCGCGCAGCAGGAGACUGGCCCCGCUUACCUGAUCAAAGAAGGUUCGUUCGCGUGUUCGUUGUAAGUUGGAGACUUGGAGAGGCUAUCCGUCCUCUCAGCCUAGUGAGUGGAAUCGUCAUGAACUCUGCAUCCAGGGAGGGUCCUGUUUAUAUUCUCUUUUCAGAUCAGCUGGUAGGAGUCUAUCUGGAGAUCCCGAACUUGAGUUCAUACUUUCAAGUUCUGAUUCUCGGUCAACUGGUCAAGUUUGUUUAUUCUGAAGUGUAGAUUCAAUUCUGACCCCAGCUCUCAGUAACUGGUCAAGUUUGUUUAAACAGCUUCGUGGAGAUAUGGCCGAUUGAGUAGGCCCGUCAGCCUUCAUACUCGGGAGAUGGUCAUCAUGGGAAUAAUCUAAGUCUGUUGUUGAAGCCAUCAAACCACGUCCGGUAAUUCCACAGUUCCUACAUUAUUUCUGUAACUAGAAGAACAACCAUUCUACGCGUCAUCUCCUAAUAAGGUCAAGACUAAAAGGAGGCGAUGCCUCCCAUUCAAAUUCUCAUAUAGGCACAUUUAGUUUUGAGGCGAAGUCUAAAAGAAGGCGAUGGCCAAUAUAGGCCAGCCAAAAUGAAGUUUAAGCGUAUCUGCUGGCUAUGCAUUUCUCAAGCAUGUUUUCUUCUAUAAGUGUAUAUACAAAGUUAAUGGGGAACGUAGCCCAUGAAAGUGCUAUAGGGAAAUUCCAACUAUA